This 68-nucleotide transfer RNA is filed under the name Callimico goeldii (Goeldi's marmoset). RNAcentral's name for it is "tRNA-Val". The record is from RNAcentral. Lineage: Eukaryota; Metazoa; Chordata; Mammalia; Primates; Cebidae.
CAAAACGUAGCUUAAACCAAAGCAUCCAGCUUACACCCGGAAGAUCUCACAAUAAAUGAUCGUUUUGA